This 73-nucleotide transfer RNA is filed under the name Ovis aries (sheep). It matches the Rfam family "tRNA". From Rfam's summary of the family: Transfer RNA (tRNA) molecules are approximately 80 nucleotides in length. Their secondary structure includes four short double-helical elements and three loops (D, anti-codon, and T loops). Further hydrogen bonds mediate the characteristic L-shaped molecular structure. tRNAs have two regions of fundamental functional importance: the anti-codon, which is responsible for specific mRNA codon recognition, and the 3' end, to which the tRNAs corresponding amino acid is attached (by aminoacyl-tRNA synthetases). tRNAs cope with the degeneracy of the genetic code in two manners: having more than one tRNA (with a specific anti-codon) for a particular amino acid; and 'wobble' base-pairing, i.e. permitting non-standard base-pairing at the 3rd anti-codon position. Lineage: Eukaryota; Metazoa; Chordata; Mammalia; Artiodactyla; Bovidae. The record is from Rfam by way of RNAcentral.
UCCCUGGCAGUCCUGUGGUUAAGACACCACACUUUCACUGCUGAGGGCCUGGGUUUGAUCCCUGGUCAGGGAA